RNAcentral lists this ribosomal RNA (491 nucleotides) under uncultured bacterium. Its description in RNAcentral is "partial 16S ribosomal RNA". It matches the Rfam family "Bacterial small subunit ribosomal RNA", at positions 28 to 507 of the family's 1533-position model. The record is from RNAcentral.
GAUGAACGCUGGCUACAGGCUUAACACAUGCAAGUCGAGGGGAAACGACGGGGAAGCUUGCUUCCCCGGGCGUCGACCGGCGCACGGGUGAGUAACGCGUAUCCAACCUGCCUCUGACUGAGGGAUAACCCGUCGAAAGUCGGCCUAAUACCUCAUGGCAUCGUCUGCGGGCAUCCAACGACGAUUAAAGAUUUCAUCGGUCAGGGAUGGGGAUGCGUCUGAUUAGCUAGUUGGCGGGGUAACGGCCCACCAAGGCGACGAUCAGUAGGGGUUCUGAGAGGAAGGUCCCCCACAUUGGAACUGAGACACGGUCCAAACUCCUACGGGAGGCAGCAGUGAGGAAUAUUGGUCAAUGGGCGGGAGCCUGAACCAGCCAAGUAGCGUGCAGGAUGACGGCCCUAUGGGUUGUAAACUGCUUUUAUGCGGGGAUAAAGUGAGGGACGUGUCCUUCAUUGCAGGUACCGCAUGAAUAAGGACCGGCUAAUUCCGUG